Molecule: long non-coding RNA, 212 nt
Filed under: Lathyrus oleraceus (garden pea)
Lineage: Eukaryota; Viridiplantae; Streptophyta; Magnoliopsida; Fabales; Fabaceae
Description: Pisum sativum (pea) long non-coding RNA (PSAT_LNC011387)
Source: RNAcentral
GAAAAUUUGACAUGAGUAUGGAUGAGAUUAGGCCACCCCUUUUGCAUAUUCUUUUUGUGUGUGGUAUGUUUCAUGAGCAUAGUCUACUAUACUAUGUCUCUAACAUGCAUUAACACCAAAAUUUUAUUGCCCUGCCUCAAAUAGUUGUGACUUCUACAUAAGUCCAAUUAGGAUUACUUAACAUAGCGCUAAAUUUGUGACAUAAAAAGGCA